Molecule: ribosomal RNA, 517 nt
Filed under: uncultured Methylobacillus sp.
Lineage: Bacteria; Pseudomonadati; Pseudomonadota; Betaproteobacteria; Nitrosomonadales; Methylophilaceae
Description: bacterial SSU rRNA
Rfam family: Bacterial small subunit ribosomal RNA
Source: RNAcentral
CGGGAGGCAGCAGUGGGGAAUUUUGGACAAUGGGCGCAAGCCUGAUCCAGCCAUGUCCGCGUGAGUGAAGAAGGCCUUCGGGUUGUAAAGCUCUUUCGCAAGGAAAGAAAACUUACUCUCUAAUAUAGAGUGAGGCUGACGGUACCUUGAUAAGAAGCACCGGCUAACUACGUGCCAGCACCCGCGGUAAUACGUAGGGUGCGAGCGUUAAUCGGAAUUACUGGGCGUAAAGCGAGCGCAGGCGGUUUUGUAAGUCAGAUGUGAAAUCCCCGGGCUCAACCUGGGAACUGCGUUUGAAACUACAAGGCUAGAGUAUGGGAGAGGGGGGGGUAGAAUUUCACGUGUAGCAGUGAAAUGCGUAGAGAUGUGGAGGAAUACCAAUGGCGAAGGCAGCCCCCUGGCCUAAUACUGACGCUCAUGCACGAAAGCGUGGGGAGCAAACAGGAUUAGAUACCCUGGUAGUCCACGCCCUAAACGAUGUCAACUAGUUGUUGGUGGAGUAAAAUCCAUUAGUAAC